RNAcentral lists this ribosomal RNA (774 nucleotides) under uncultured Enterobacteriaceae bacterium. RNAcentral's name for it is "bacterial SSU rRNA". It matches the Rfam family "Bacterial small subunit ribosomal RNA", at positions 727 to 1502 of the family's 1533-position model. The record is from RNAcentral. Lineage: Bacteria; Pseudomonadati; Pseudomonadota; Gammaproteobacteria; Enterobacterales; Enterobacteriaceae.
UUCUGGACAGUACUGACGCUGAGAUGCGAAAGCGUGGGGAGCAAACAGGAUUAGAUACCCUGGUAGUCCACGCUGUAAACGAUGUCGAUUUGGAGUUUGUUGCCUAGAGUGAUGGGCUCCGAAGCUAACGCGAUAAAUCGACCGCCUGGGGAGUACGGCCGCAAGGUUAAAACUCAAAUGAAUUGACGGGGGCCCGCACAAGCGGUGGAGCAUGUGGUUUAAUUCGAUGCAACGCGAAGAACCUUACCUGGUCUUGACAUCCAUAGAAUCCUGCAGAGAUGUGGGAGUGCCUUCGGGAACUAUGAGACAGGUGCUGCAUGGCUGUCGUCAGCUCGUGUUGUGAAAUGUUGGGUUAAGUCCCGCAACGAGCGCAACCCUUAUUCUUUGUUGCCAGCGAUUUGGUCGGGAACUCAAAGGAGACUGCCGUUGAUAAAGCGGAGGAAGGUGGGGACGACGUCAAGUCAUCAUGGCCCUUACGACCAGGGCUACACACGUGCUACAAUGGCGUAUACAAAGGGAAGCGAAGGUGCGAGCUGGAGCGGAUCUCAUAAAGUACGUCUAAGUUCGGAUUGGAGUCUGCAACUCGACUCCAUGAAGUCGGAAUCGCUAGUAAUCGUAGAUCAGAAUGCUACGGUGAAUACGUUCCCGGGCCUUGUACACACCGCCCGUCACACCAUGGGAGUGGGUUGCACCAGAAGUAGAUAGCUUAACCGCGAGGGGGGCGUUUACCACGGUGUGAUUCAUGACUGGGGUGAAGUCGUAACAAGGUAACCA